Long non-coding RNA from Gasterosteus aculeatus aculeatus (three-spined stickleback), 553 nucleotides. The record is from Ensembl. NCBI's taxonomy places the organism in Eukaryota, Metazoa, Chordata, Actinopteri, Perciformes, Gasterosteidae.
AUGGAACGCAGCGUUUGUGAUGCGUAACCAUGUGUGUGCUGUUCCAUGUUGAAGUCCGGUCCUUCCUGGUCGUUUCAGGGCUGCAGAAGGUUCACUUGAAGGCCUUGGACGGGCAGCGGUACUCCACCCUGGAGAGGCAGUGCUUGCAGAGUGGCCUGCUCUUUGAGACCCCCGCUUCCCCGCCAUCGACCACUCGCCGUUCCACCACGCCAACAGGAUGGGACGCGUGGUGUGGAAGAGGCCUCGAUGACGAUGAAAGCUCUUGGGACAAAACGUCCUCAUCCAAAGGGCGCAUCCCAAAGAAGAGGGUCCGACGCCGUCAGAGACUUGACACCGGCGUCAGAGCGCCAUUGCUCGCCCGAUACGAAAGGCCCGAAAGCUCCGGGCAGCGUGUCAGCGUGACUCGAGCAAUGAGGAAAGACCAAGAGGAAAGGAAGCACAAUCAGAGGAGGCGAGAAGAGGAUUAGCGUUUUGUUUACGCUAAUUGUAGCCUCGGCUAUUUUGGUGUUCUCCUAGUCCGGUAGUAGUUAAGCGCUAUUUGGUGACUCUCUGG